This 253-nucleotide ribosomal RNA is filed under the name uncultured prokaryote. Its description in RNAcentral is "partial 16S ribosomal RNA". It matches the Rfam family "Bacterial small subunit ribosomal RNA", at positions 525 to 777 of the family's 1533-position model. The record is from RNAcentral.
ACGGGGGGUGCGAGCGUUGUCCGGAAUCACUGGGCGUAAAGCGUGCGUAGGUGGUUCGUUAAGUCUGAUGUGAAAGCCCUGGGCUCAACCUGGGAAUGGCAUUGGAAACUGGCGACCUAGAGUGCGGUAGAGGGUAGUGGAAUUCCCGGUGUAGCAGUGAAAUGCGUAGAGAUCGGGAGGAACAUCCGUGGCGAAGGCGACUACCUGGACCAGCACUGACACUGAGGCACGAAAGCGUGGGGAGCAAACAGGA